AGUGAACGCUGGCGGUAGGCCUAACACAUGCAAGUCGAACGGCAGCACAGUAAGAGCUUGCUCUUACGGGUGGCGAGUGGCGGACGGGUGAGGAAUACAUCGGAAUCUACUUUUUCGUGGGGGAUAACGUAGGGAAACUUACGCUAAUACCGCAUACGACCUACGGGUGAAAGCAGGGGAUCUUCGGACCUUGCGCGAUUGAAUGAGCCGAUGUCGGAUUAGCUAGUUGGCGGGGUAAAGGCCCACCAAGGCGACGAUCCGUAGCUGGUCUGAGAGGAUGAUCAGCCACACUGGAACUGAGACACGGUCCAGACUCCUACGGGAGGCAGCAGUGGGGAAUAUUGGACAAUGGGCGCAAGCCUGAUCCAGCCAUACCGCGUGGGUGAAGAAGGCCUUCGGGUUGUAAGGCCCUUUUGUUGGGAAAGAAAAGCAGCAGGUUAAUACCCCGCUGUUCUGGCGGUACCCAAAGAAUAAGCACCGGCUAACUUCGUG
RNAcentral lists this ribosomal RNA (492 nucleotides) under uncultured bacterium. Its description in RNAcentral is "partial 16S ribosomal RNA". It matches the Rfam family "Bacterial small subunit ribosomal RNA", at positions 29 to 507 of the family's 1533-position model. The record is from RNAcentral.